UGGGGAAUAUUGCACAAUGGAGGGAACUCUGAUGCAGCAACGCCGCGUGCGGGAUGACGGCCUUCGGGUUGUAAACCGCUUUCAGCCAUGACGAAGCUUUUGUGACGGUAGUGGUAGAAGAAGCACCGGCUAACUACGUGCCAGCAGCCGCGGUGAUACGUAGGGUGCGAGCGUUGUCCGGAAUUAUUGGGCGUAAAGAGCUUGUAGGCGGUUUGUCGCGUCGAUAGUGUAAACACGCAGCUUAACUGUGUGCCUGCUGUCGAUACGGGCGGACUAGAGGAGGGUAGGGGAGAAUGGAAUUCCCGGUGGAGCGGUGGAAUGCGCAGAUAUCGGGAGGAACACCAGUGGCGAAGGCGGUUCUCUGGACCUUUCCUGACGCUGAGAAGCGAAAGCGUGGGUAGCAAACAGG
Molecule: ribosomal RNA, 409 nt
Filed under: Fusobacteriota bacterium
Lineage: Bacteria; Fusobacteriati; Fusobacteriota
Description: Fusobacteria bacterium partial 16S ribosomal RNA
Rfam family: Bacterial small subunit ribosomal RNA
Source: RNAcentral